This 566-nucleotide ribosomal RNA is filed under the name Fusarium tricinctum. RNAcentral describes it as "eukaryotic LSU rRNA". The stretch from base 183 to 336 matches the Rfam family "5.8S ribosomal RNA". Lineage: Eukaryota; Fungi; Ascomycota; Sordariomycetes; Hypocreales; Nectriaceae. The record is from RNAcentral.
UUCCGUAAGGGUACCUGCGGAGGGAUCAUUACCGAGUUUACAACUCCCAAACCCCUGUGAACAUACCUUAAUGUUGCCUCGGCGGAUCAGCCCGCGCCCCGUAAAACGGGACGGCCCGCCAGAGGACCCAAACUCUAAUGUUUCUUAUUGUAACUUCUGAGUAAAACAAACAAAUAAAUCAAAACUUUCAACAACGGAUCUCUUGGUUCUGGCAUCGAUGAAGAACGCAGCAAAAUGCGAUAAGUAAUGUGAAUUGCAGAAUUCAGUGAAUCAUCGAAUCUUUGAACGCACAUUGCGCCCGCUGGUAUUCCGGCGGGCAUGCCUGUUCGAGCGUCAUUUCAACCCUCAAGCCCCCGGGUUUGGUGUUGGGGAUCGGCUCUGCCCUUCUGGGCGGUGCCGCCCCCGAAAUACAUUGGCGGUCUCGCUGCAGCCUCCAUUGCGUAGUAGCUAACACCUCGCAACUGGAACGCGGCGCGGCCAUGCCGUAAAACCCCAACUUCUGAAUGUUGACCUCGGAUCAGGUAGGAAUACCCGCUGAACUUAAGCAUAUCAAAAGGCCGGAGGAA